RNAcentral lists this ribosomal RNA (500 nucleotides) under uncultured Glomeromycotina. Its description in RNAcentral is "partial small subunit ribosomal RNA". It matches the Rfam family "Eukaryotic small subunit ribosomal RNA", at positions 591 to 1092 of the family's 1831-position model. The record is from RNAcentral. Lineage: Eukaryota; Fungi; Glomeromycota.
CCAAUAGCGUAUAUUAAAGUUGUUGCAGUUAAAAAGCUCGUAGUUGAAUUUCGGGGUUAGUAGGUUGGUCAUGCCUCUGGUAUGUACUGGUCUCACUGAUUCCUCCUUCCUGAUGAGCCGUAAUGCCAUUAAUUUGGUGUUGCGGGGAAUUUGGACUGUUACUUUGAAAAAAUUAGAGUGUUUAAAGCAAGCUAACGCUUGAAUACAUUAGCAUGGAAUAAUGAAAUAGGACGUUCGAUCCUAUUUUGUUGGUUUCUAGGAUUGACGUAAUGAUUAAUAGGGAUAGUUGGGGGCAUUAGUAUUCAAUUGUCAGAGGUGAGAUUCUUGGAUUUAUUGAAGACUAACUACUGCGAAAGCAUUUGCCAAGGAUGUUUUCAUUAAUCAAGAACGAAAGUUAGGGGAUCGAAGACGAUCAGAUACCGUCGUAGUCUUAACCAUAAACUAUGCCGACUAGGGAUCGGAUGAUGUUAAUUUUUUAAUGACUCAUUCGGCGCCUUACG